RNAcentral lists this unclassified non-coding RNA (333 nucleotides) under soil metagenome. RNAcentral's name for it is "partial contains 5.8S ribosomal RNA, internal transcribed spacer 2, and large subunit ribosomal RNA". The stretch from base 1 to 120 matches the Rfam family "5.8S ribosomal RNA", at positions 35 to 154 of the family's 154-position model. The record is from RNAcentral.
GAUGAAGAACGUAGCGAAAUGCGAUAAGUAAUGUGAAUUGCAGAAUUCAGUGAAUCAUCGAAUCUUUGAACGCACAUUGCGCCCGCCAGUAUUCUGGCGGGCAUGCCUGUUCGAGCGUCAUUUCAACCAUCAAGCCCCAGGCUUGUGUUGGAGCCCUGCGGCUGCCGCAGCCUCCCAAAACCAGUGGCGGGCUCGCUAUCACACCGAGUGCAGUAGUUUACUCUUCGCUCAGGGCGUGUGGCGGGUGCUAGCCGUAAAACCCCCAACUUCUCAAGGUUGACCUCGGAUCAGGUAGGAAUACCCGCUGAACUUAAGCAUAUCAUAAGCGGAGGA